Eurytemora carolleeae is the source of this 1361-nucleotide long non-coding RNA. RefSeq lists it as uncharacterized. The transcript is spliced from 2 exons. NCBI's taxonomy places the organism in Eukaryota, Metazoa, Arthropoda, Copepoda, Calanoida, Temoridae. The record is from RefSeq and is a predicted model, not a curated record.
UCGUUCACAAUCACCCUAAGGCAGAUGUCAAAGAUUAAGAAGUUACUCGUAUGCUAUCUCUCUGUCUUGUAAUUCAACGCCGUAUUCGCGUAACUCCUUUUGGAUGCUACCACAGGGUUAUUGUGAACGAAACACCCCUAAAUCUUGAAAAGACGACAUCUAAUGUUCCUUCAUAAAACACUGACCUGCCCCCCUCUUUUGUUUCUUAUUGCAUCAUUAUUCAGAAAGGUGACUAAUGUUUCAAACUAAAUAUAACCCAACCUGGAAUAAAAUUGCAUUAAUUUUAUCAAAAAAACAAAUUAAUUUCCCCCGUCUUUAAAUUCCAUUUUAAAUCUAUUAAUUAACUAAGAAUGGAGCAGCUGGUCAGCUUGCUCACGGACUUGUGGAUCAGGGACGCAAACAAGAACUCUAUCAGGAACUCAAUUUGCUCAGCAGAGAGGUUGCUCAACUGAGGAAUGCUCCAACUCCAGACCUAGUACAGACGAUGAUUUCCAGGUAUCUUUUAAAGCUUGCCAAUUCUCCGGAACCUGCACUGGAGAACCUGCUCAGAAACCUCAACCCGUCCAACGCCAAGUCGCUGAAGGGCCAAAUCAACCUGGGGGGAAUAGUCCGACUCGGAGACGUAUCUCGUCAAGUAAUAGACAGGUUUUUUUCUCGCGGAUUCCAAUUGGAAGCCCGUCCAGAUUCAGAGAAAGGAUUAGAAUCUAGGAAUCAAGUAUUAGCUUGUUGGAAUCCUUGGAAAAAAUUCACCAACGUUCUAAUUUUAUCAAAAACAAAGGAAAGUUUAAAUUUAUUGAUACACAAUUGUUAAUUAAAUACAAUAAAAACCACCAUAAAGAAUUACUAUUCAAAAUCAUACUUUUUAAUAAAAAAACUGAAGUUGUUCAGAAGUAUUUAAAUUGAUAAGUUAAAAUGUUUUUAAAUAAAUUUUUGUUUAUUUUCUUGAUUAAUAAAUGAAUCUCUAUUUUGACCCUUAGUUUCGCACAACAUAUUUCAUUUAAUCCAAAUAUUAAUGAAUGUAUGAAAUUAAAACCAAACUGUUACUAAUUGUCUAGUAUUUUUUCAGUGGUCUGCAGAAUAAAAUGGAAAAGAUAAAAUGACCAGAAAUCCAACUAAUAUUUAUUUAUUUUGUUGCUGUAAAAUUCUAAUUUAAAAUCUGUUGUCAGUUUUCAUUACCAAGGUUGUUUUGCACGUUAAGAGAUUUUAUCUAAAGAUCGUUUUGUCUUCUGUUUUAUUUUGUGGAGCCAUCGUAGUAUACUGAUAUUAUAAUGCUUUAAUUCAACAAUGCUUUAAUGUUAAUUCCAAACAAAUGUGAUUUAUAAACAUGUCAGAAAAUAAAACAUUUAUUUUAUAAUUAUAAA